AUGCACUCCCCCCACCCACAAUUCCUGCCAGCCAGAGACUCAAACUCACAACCUUUCGAUUGCCAGUCCGACUCUCUAACCAUUAGGCCAUGACUUCCCCUUCCCGAGGGGAUCAUGUUUGUGUCAGACUUUUGUACCUGUUUUGUUGUGUUUUUUUUCUCCACAUGUGCUUCCCAUGACCCAAAUUCUCCCUCUCGUUUUGAUUAGUCAUUUUGUUCAGGUAUGUCCCGUUAAUUACCCUUGUUUGUCUAUGUAUUUAAGCCCCAGUCUGUUCAGUCUUUGGUAGUCCAGUCAUCUUUAUGUUAUGCUGUGUUUCCCUCACCGUUCUGCACGUGUUCCAUGUUUGUUCAUUAAUGAAAGUGACUUUGAACUGCACCUCCUGUCUUCGCCUUCUUACCUGCAUCACUGUGACAGAUGACCGGACCCAAUAAUGUACAAUGGGUUGAGGAUCAGUUGUGGUGCCCGCAGAGAGAACAGGAGGAGACCACAAGGUGAGUGAAUGGUAAAUGAAGAGGUAUUAAUUGAUUAAACUCAAGGAAGUAGAGGAGUGGAGAAUCAGCAGCUGAGUAGCACAUUAGCUGGUAGGUCAGCGAGGGUUCCACAGAAGACAAAGAUGAUCCAGAGCAACCGGCUAAUCAGGUGAGUCUCUUGAAUUGACUUCAACAUCAGAUAAAGGUUGGUGAGGAGUGAAGGUGGCUUUAUACUGGUCUUGAUUGCUUAGUGACAGGUGCGGGGAAUUAGUAUUUAGGUGAUUGUGAUUGUGCAGACUGAGAGCUGGGAUCUGACAAGACGUGUUUCCCUGACAGUACCCAUGACACUUGCUGCCGGCGACGAGGACGGCUGUGCUUCUGGGGGCAGGUUUCUCUGGAUGAAGCUGAUGGAAGUCAGACAGCAGAGAGGUGUCAAGUACAGGUUAGAUGGCAUGAAUCGUGAUGCUUGGGUUCUGGUGCUAGAGUGGAUGAUGUGACUGAGGGCAGUUACAGUGGAUGAACUCCUGAGCAGGCAUGGAGGUGAUGGGAGAUGUGAAUGGCCUUUAAGAUGAAACUCUCAAGCCCCAUGGUGUCAUCAUAGAUUGCCAUCUGCUGUCGAAUGUUUGGAUUCAGCACCUGCUGGAAAGUGGUGAGUAGAGCGAUCUUAUUCCAACCACUCAAGGCCACAAGAGUGUGAAAUUAAACAGAAUAAUCCCAUACCAAGCCUCCUCCCUGACGAAACCUGAACAACGGUCUUGGACAGACAGCUCUGACAUGGCUUGGCCAAAGACUUCCUUGAAAUGAUACGUGGGCAUCAAAGGUUUUUGUAACCUGGCUUGUUGGCAUUCCAAAGGGACUCCGCCUACUGUAGGGCAC
This 1346-nucleotide long non-coding RNA is filed under the name Carassius auratus (goldfish). RNAcentral describes it as "lncRNA (ENSCARG00000023809.1)". The record is from RNAcentral. Lineage: Eukaryota; Metazoa; Chordata; Actinopteri; Cypriniformes; Cyprinidae.